AUACGGAGGAUGCAAGCGUUAUCCGGAUUUAUUGGGUUUAAAGGGUGCGUAGGCGGAUGAUUAAGCGUGAGGUGAAAUGCCACUGCUCAACAGUGGAACUGCCUCGCGAACUGGUUGUCUUGAAUGCUCCUGCCGUGGGAGGAAUGUGUGGUGUAGCGGUGAAAUGCAUAGAGAUCACACAGAACACCGAUUGCGAAGGCAUCUCACGAAGGGGUGAUUGACGCUGAGGCACGAAAGCGUGGGGAUCAAACAGGAUUAGAUACCCUGGUAGUCCACGCAGUAAACGAUGAUAACUAACCGCUGGGUCGUAGUGAUUCAGUGGCCAAGCGAAAGCGAUAAGUUAUCCACCUGGGGAGUACGACCGCAAGGUUGGAACUCAAAGGAAUUGACGGGG
Molecule: ribosomal RNA, 394 nt
Filed under: uncultured bacterium
Lineage: Bacteria
Description: partial 16S ribosomal RNA
Rfam family: Bacterial small subunit ribosomal RNA
Source: RNAcentral